AGGGAAUCUUGGACAAUGGGCGAAAGCCUGAUCCAGCCAUGCCGCGUGUGUGAUGAAGGCCUUAGGGUUGUAAAGCACUUUCGCCAGGGAAGAUAAUGACGGUACCUGGAUAAGAAGCCCCGGCUAACUUCGUGCCAGCAGCCGCGGUAAUACGAAGGGGGCUAGCGUUGUUCGGAAUUACUGGGCGUAAAGCGCACGUAGGCGGCAUUCCAAGUUGGAGGUGAAAUCCCCGGGCUUAACCUGGGAACUGCCUCCAAAACUGGGAAGCUCGAGUCCGAGAGAGGUGAGUGGAAUUUCCAGUGUAGAGGUGAAAUUCGUAGAUAUUGGAAAGAACACCAGUGGCGAAGGCGGCUCACUGGCUCGGUACUGACGCUGAGGAGCGACAGCGUGGGGAGCAAAC
This 400-nucleotide ribosomal RNA is filed under the name uncultured bacterium. RNAcentral describes it as "bacterial SSU rRNA". It matches the Rfam family "Bacterial small subunit ribosomal RNA", at positions 356 to 773 of the family's 1533-position model. The record is from RNAcentral.